This 579-nucleotide ribosomal RNA is filed under the name uncultured bacterium. RNAcentral's name for it is "partial 16S ribosomal RNA". It matches the Rfam family "Bacterial small subunit ribosomal RNA", at positions 355 to 926 of the family's 1533-position model. The record is from RNAcentral.
UGGGGAAUUUUGGACAAUGGGCGAAAGCCUGAUCCAGCAAUGCCGCGUGUGUGAAGAAGGCCUUCGGGUUGUAAAGCACUUUUGUCCGGAAAGAAAUCCUUGGCUCUAAUACAGUCGGGGGAUGACGGUACCGGAAGAAUAAGCACCGGCUAACUACGUGCCAGCAGCCGCGGUAAUACGUAGGGUGCAAGCGUUAAUCGGAAUUACUGGGCGUAAAGCGUGCGCAGGCGGUUUGCUAAGACCGAUGUGAAAUCCCCGGGCUCAACCUGGGAACUGCAUUGGUGACUGGCAGGCUAGAGUAUGGCAGAGGGGGGUAGAAUUCCACGUGUAGCAGUGAAAUGCGUAGAGAUGUGGAGGAAUACCGAUGGCGAAGGCAGCCCCCUGGGCCAAUACUGACGCUCAUGCACGAAAGCGUGGGGAGCAAACAGGAUUAGAUACCCUGGUAGUCCCACGCCCUAAACGAUGUCAACUAGUUGUUGGGGAUUCAUUUCCUUAGUAACGUAGCUAACGCGUGAAGUUGACCGCCUGGGGAGUACGGUCGCAAGAUUAAAACUCAAAGGAAUUGACGGGUCAUAGCUG